RNAcentral lists this long non-coding RNA (370 nucleotides) under Daphnia pulex (common water flea). RNAcentral describes it as "uncharacterized LOC124188934, transcript variant X1". Lineage: Eukaryota; Metazoa; Arthropoda; Branchiopoda; Diplostraca; Daphniidae. The record is from RNAcentral.
GCCAUUCCGCCAUUGUCUCCGACACGCGACACUUGUCAGUUGUCACACUAUGCCUUGAAACUGCAGUCUACUAGGCUCUAGGCUGUAGCAAUGGAAUAGUGAAAUUUUUUUGUUCUGUUAAUAUUUUUGUCGAAAUGUCGAGUUGAAACUUGAAACCUAUGAAUGUUGGCUGCUUCACUAGAAUGUAUGGGUCCUAGACUAGAUUGAUCUAUUUCAACAUGUGCAGAGAAUUCUACUGUUGCGGCCCGGAGUUGCUGCAACGUGUGUACAGCUGGUGGUAACUGGUUGAUCCUUCUCGACGUUGCGCGUUCGUGAUCACCAGAAUAUGUAAAGGGCGAAGAAGGGAUGGAAAUUAUGGAUUGUUAGUUGA